This 465-nucleotide ribosomal RNA is filed under the name uncultured Actinomycetes bacterium. RNAcentral's name for it is "bacterial SSU rRNA". It matches the Rfam family "Bacterial small subunit ribosomal RNA", at positions 28 to 504 of the family's 1533-position model. Lineage: Bacteria; Bacillati; Actinomycetota; Actinomycetes. The record is from RNAcentral.
GAUGAACGCUGGCGGCGUGCUUAACACAUGCAAGUCGAACGCUGAAGCCCCAGCUUGCUGGGGUGGAUGAGUGGCGAACGGGUGAGUAACACGUGAGUAACCUUCCCUUGACUCUGGGAUAAGCCUGGGAAAUCGGGUCUAAUACCGGAUGCGACCCUCUACCGCAUGGUGGGGGGUGGAAAGAUUUAUCGGUCUUGGAUGGACUCGCGGCCUAUCAGCUUGUUGGUGGGGUAAUGGCCCACCAAGGCGACGACGGGUAGCCGGCCUGAGAGGGUGACCGGCCACACUGGGACUGAGACACGGCCCAGACUCCUACGGGAGGCAGCAGUGGGGAAUAUUGCACAAUGGGCGCAAGCCUGAUGCAGCGACGCCGCGUGAGGGAUGACGGCCUUCGGGUUGUAAACCUCUUUCAGUAGGGAAGAAGCGAAAGUGACGGUACCUGCAGAAGAAGCGCCGGCUAACUAC